UUGGUGGCACAAAAUCGGAGGCCUCGACUGUUUACUAAAAACACAAGAAUGUGCAAUGAUGAAAAUCAUAGUAUACGUUCUGAAAUUUGCUCGAUGCCAUUAAUAUAAAAAAGGUAAUGGGUAACUGUUACUGAUUGAAAGUCUGGUUAAUAGCGGUCUUAACUAUGAGGAUCCUAAGGUAGCGAAAUCAAUUGGCCAUUAAAUGUGGUCCGGUAUCAAUAAUGUAACGAAGGUCUCACUGUCUCUACAACUUGCUCAGUGAAAUUGAAUUACCCAGUGCAGAU
Molecule: ribosomal RNA, 284 nt
Filed under: Phellinus igniarius
Lineage: Eukaryota; Fungi; Basidiomycota; Agaricomycetes; Hymenochaetales; Hymenochaetaceae
Description: partial mitochondrial large subunit ribosomal RNA
Rfam family: Bacterial large subunit ribosomal RNA
Source: RNAcentral